CGAUACUUGGUGUGAAUUACAGAAUCCCGUGAACCAUCGAGUCUUUGAACGCAAGUUGCAUCUGAGACCUUUUGGUUGAGGACACACCUGUCUGGGUGUCAAGC
This 104-nucleotide ribosomal RNA is filed under the name Dictyostega orobanchoides. RNAcentral's name for it is "partial 5.8 ribosomal RNA". It matches the Rfam family "5.8S ribosomal RNA", at positions 56 to 154 of the family's 154-position model. From Rfam's summary of the family: 5.8S ribosomal RNA (5.8S rRNA) is a component of the large subunit of the eukaryotic ribosome. It is transcribed by RNA polymerase I as part of the 45S precursor that also contains 18S and 28S rRNA. Lineage: Eukaryota; Viridiplantae; Streptophyta; Magnoliopsida; Dioscoreales; Burmanniaceae. The record is from RNAcentral.